RNAcentral lists this unclassified non-coding RNA (207 nucleotides) under Glomus sp. RNAcentral describes it as "partial contains 5.8S ribosomal RNA and internal transcribed spacer 2". The stretch from base 1 to 65 matches the Rfam family "5.8S ribosomal RNA", at positions 84 to 154 of the family's 154-position model. Lineage: Eukaryota; Fungi; Glomeromycota; Glomeromycetes; Glomerales; Glomeraceae. The record is from RNAcentral.
GUGAAUCAUCGAAUUUUUGAACGCAAAUUGCACUCUCUUCUGAGAGUAUGCCUGUUUGAGGGUCAGCCUAUAAAAAAUCGACAUCGUUGCUGUUUCGCGGCGGCGUUCGUCGGCAAUUGGGUCAUCUUAUAUUUUUUUGUUUUAAGCGACUUAAAAUUUUCUUUUUGUUUCCAUGGUAGUUUCUUUGAUUUCUUUCUUUUCACGUUU